GUGUCAGCAGCCGCGGUAAUACGAAGGGGGCUAGCGUUGCUCGGAUUGACUGGGCGUAAAGGGCGCGUAGGCGGUUUGUACAGUCAGACGUGAAAUUCCUGGGCUCAACCUGGGGGCUGCGUUUGAUACGUGCAGACUUGAGUUCGGAAGAGGGUCGUGGAAUUCCCAGUGUAGAGGUGAAAUUCGUAGAUAUUGGGAAGAACACCGGUGGCGAAGGCGGCGACCUGGUCCGAUACUGACGCUGAGGCGCGAAAGCGUGGGGAGCAAACAGGAUUAGAUACCCCAGUAGUCC
Molecule: ribosomal RNA, 292 nt
Filed under: uncultured bacterium
Lineage: Bacteria
Description: partial 16S ribosomal RNA
Rfam family: Bacterial small subunit ribosomal RNA
Source: RNAcentral